GGUAUUGAAAUAAGAUUUUAAAUGAGUGCUAAGAGAAUGAUUAAACAAUUAAAAACUUUCUUUAAUUAAAUAAUUAAAUUUAAUUUUUUUUGUGCAAAAGCAAAAAUAAAAUUUAGGGACAAGAAGACCCUAUGAAUUUUUAUUAUUAAUAUUUUGCAAUUAAAUUAUUAAUAAUUUAAUUGGGGUGAUAAAAAAAGAAUAAGUAUCUUUUUAAUACAUAAAAUUAGUUCCGUUUUUAGCGAUUAAGUGAAAAAAAUACUCUAGGGAUAACAGCGUAAUAAUUUUGGAUAGUUCAUAUAGAUAAAAUAGUUUGCGACCUCGAUGUUGGAUUAGGAUUCU
Molecule: ribosomal RNA, 339 nt
Filed under: Ixodes scapularis (black-legged tick)
Lineage: Eukaryota; Metazoa; Arthropoda; Arachnida; Ixodida; Ixodidae
Description: partial 16S ribosomal RNA
Source: RNAcentral